UCCUAUAAUUGAUGAUCCACGAUUUUUUUGACUUAUUUUAAAUUAGUUUAUAUAUCGUUGUAGGUUGAAUAUUUUUAAAGAAAAAGAAUGUUCAAAAUUUUUUUAGAAAGGAAAUCAGAUCAAGGUGUAGCUUAUAGAUAAGUAGAGAUGGGUUACAAUAAAUUUAUUUAUUGCGAAUUAGUAUGUGAAAUUAUACUAUAAAGAUGGAUUUGAGGGUAAUAAUAAUUAAAUUAUUAUUAUGAUUUUAGCUCUAAAAUAUGUACAUAUCGCCCGUCGCUUUCACUUUAAAGUGGAAUAAGUCGUAACAAAGUAGGCGUACUGGAAAGUGUGCCUAGACAGACAAAUUAGAGCUUGAUUAAAGCAUUUUAUUUACAUUAAAAAGUUUAUUGAUAAUUUAAUAUAAUUUGAAUGAAAAUUAUUAUUCAAGUUGUUAUUUUAUUUUUGUUUAAAAUAAGAGUUUUUUUGUUAUAUUAUUAUUUAUGAAAAAAUUAAUUUUAUUAUAGGUUAAUAUUAUUGUUAAAGAAAUAAAUUUUUAUUUCUUUAAGAAAAAUUUAUUUUUUGUACCUUGGGUAUCAGGGCUUAUUAACUUAUAACUAUUAAUUUAGUUUUCUCGAAUUUAAAAGAGUUAUUAUUAUAUUUUUUUUACUGUUAAAUAAUUAUUAUUAAUAUAAUAAUUGAAGUGAAACGUUAGUCGAUUUUAAAAAUAUCUAGUUAUCUAAGAAAAAAAUUUAAUUUUUUUGUUAUUUUAUUAUAAAAUUAAAUUUUUAGUUUUAUAUUAUUUAUAGAUUAUAUUUUAAGGGAUGAGCUUUAAAAUAGAUUUUUAUAAAUUUUUUUAUUUAUUAUUAAAAAAGUAGGAUUAUAAGUUUUUAUUUUUAAAAUUGUGUUAUAACUAUUUUAAUGUUUUUUAUAAUUUAUAUAAAUUAUUUUAAUUAUUUUAUUAGAAUAUAAAUUAAAAUUUAAAAUUAAUUUAGUAAUAAUGAUUAGAUUAGUAUAAAUUAAUGUUUAUUUAUUUAUUUAUUAUAGGUUAAGUAAAGGAAUUCGGCAAAUUAAUUUUUCACCUGUUUAUUAAAAACAUGGCCUUUUGAAUAUAAUUUAAGGUCUGACCUGCCCAAUGAUUUAAGUAUUAAAUGGCCGCGGUAUUUUGACCGUGCAAAGGUAGCAUAAUCAUUAGUUUUUUAAUUGAAAGCUUGUAUGAAAGGUUGGAUGAGAGAAUUACUGUCUCUAUUUAAAUUUAUUAAAAUUUUAUUUUUAAGUAAAAAAGCUUAAAUUUUAUUAGAAGACGAGAAGACCCUAUAGAGUUUUAUAAAAUUUUUUUAAAAAAUUUUUUAGAAUU
Molecule: ribosomal RNA, 1333 nt
Filed under: Crossixus punctatus
Lineage: Eukaryota; Metazoa; Arthropoda; Insecta; Coleoptera; Curculionidae
Description: partial 16S ribosomal RNA
Source: RNAcentral